This 90-nucleotide transfer RNA is filed under the name Perca fluviatilis (European perch). Its description in RNAcentral is "tRNA-Tyr". It matches the Rfam family "tRNA". Rfam says of the family: Transfer RNA (tRNA) molecules are approximately 80 nucleotides in length. Their secondary structure includes four short double-helical elements and three loops (D, anti-codon, and T loops). Lineage: Eukaryota; Metazoa; Chordata; Actinopteri; Perciformes; Percidae. The record is from RNAcentral.
CCUUUGAUAGCUAUGUUGGUAGAGCCGGAGGACUGUAGGUUGAUAAGUGUAGGCAUCCUUAGGUCGCUGGUUCAACUCCGGCUCGAAGGA